This 301-nucleotide ribosomal RNA is filed under the name uncultured bacterium. RNAcentral describes it as "partial 16S ribosomal RNA". It matches the Rfam family "Archaeal small subunit ribosomal RNA", at positions 459 to 759 of the family's 1478-position model. The record is from RNAcentral.
CAGUCGCCACGGGAAUACCAGCAGCCCAAGUGGUGGUCGCGUUUAUUGGGCCUAAAGCGCUCGUAGCCUGACCGGUAAGUUCCCAGUGAAAUCGGGUCGCCCAACGAUUCGGCUUGCGGGGAAUACUGUCGGUCUUGGGGCCGGGAGACGCCGAGGGUACUCCGGGGGUAGCGGUGAAAUGCUGUAAUCCUCGGGGGACUACCAGUGGCGAAGGCGCUCGGCGAUAACGGGCCUGACGGUGAGGGGCGAAAGCUGGGGGCGCGAACGGGAUUAGAUACCCCCGUAGUCCCUGUCUCUUAUA